GGAGCGGCAGACGGGUGAGUAACGCGUGGGAAUCUACCCAUCACUACGGAACAACUCCGGGAAACUGGAGCUAAUACCGUAUACGUCCUUCGGGAGAAAGAUUUAUCGGUGAUGGAUGAGCCCGCGUUGGAUUAGCUAGUUGGUGGGGUAAUGGCCUACCAAGGCGACGAUCCAUAGCUGGUCUGAGAGGAUGAUCAGCCACACUGGGACUGAGACACGGCCCAGACUCCUACGGGAGGCAGCAGUGGGGAAUAUUGGACAAUGGGCGAAAGCCUGAUCCAGCCAUGCCGCGUGAGUGAUGAAGGCCCUAGGGUUGUAAAGCUCUUUCAACGGUGAAGAUAAUGACGGUAACCGUAGAAGAAGCCCCGGCUAACUUCGUGCCAGCAGCCGCGGUAAUACGAAGGGGGCUAGCGUUGUUCGGAUUUACUGGGCGUAAAGCGCACGUAGGCGGACUAUUAAGUCAGGGGUGAAAUCCCGGGGCUCAACCCCGGAACUGCCUUUGAUACUGGUAGUCUCGAGUCCGGAAGAGGUGAGUGGAAU
RNAcentral lists this ribosomal RNA (540 nucleotides) under uncultured bacterium. Its description in RNAcentral is "bacterial SSU rRNA". It matches the Rfam family "Bacterial small subunit ribosomal RNA", at positions 92 to 667 of the family's 1533-position model. The record is from RNAcentral.